This 426-nucleotide ribosomal RNA is filed under the name uncultured beta proteobacterium. RNAcentral describes it as "bacterial SSU rRNA". It matches the Rfam family "Bacterial small subunit ribosomal RNA", at positions 355 to 774 of the family's 1533-position model. The record is from RNAcentral. Lineage: Bacteria; Pseudomonadati; Pseudomonadota; Betaproteobacteria.
UGGGGAAUUUUGGACAACGGGCGAAAGCCUGAUCCAGCCAUGCCGCGUGAGUGAAGAAGGCCUUCGGGUUGUAAAGCUCUUUUAGUCGGAAAGAAAGAGUUGCAAUGAAUAAUUGUGAUUUAUGACGGUACCGACAGAAAAAGCACCGGCUAACUACGUGCCAGCAGCCGCGGUAAUACGUAGGGUGCGAGCGUUAAUCGGAAUUACUGGGCGUAAAGGGUGCGCAGGCGGUCUUGCAAGUCAGAUGUGAAAGCCCCGGGCUUAACCUGGGAAUUGCGUUUGAAACUACAAGACUAGAGUGCAGCAGAGGGAGUGGAAUUCCAUGUGUAGCAGUGAAAUGCGUAGAGAUGUGGAAGAACACCGAUGGCGAAGGCAGCUCCCUGGGUUGACACUGACGCUCAUGCACGAAAGCGUGGGGAGCAAACA